This 458-nucleotide ribosomal RNA is filed under the name uncultured Paracoccaceae bacterium. Its description in RNAcentral is "bacterial SSU rRNA". It matches the Rfam family "Bacterial small subunit ribosomal RNA", at positions 901 to 1382 of the family's 1533-position model. The record is from RNAcentral. Lineage: Bacteria; Pseudomonadati; Pseudomonadota; Alphaproteobacteria; Rhodobacterales; Paracoccaceae.
UUAAAUGAAUUGACGGGGCCCGCACAAGCGGUGGAGCAUGUGGUUAAUUCGAAGCAACGCGCAGAACCUUACCAACCCCUUGGCAUCCCUGGACCGCCGGAGAGAUUCGGUUUCUCGUAAGAGACCAGGUGACAGGUGCUGCAUGGCUGUCGUCAGCUCGUGUCGUGAGAUGUUCGGUUAAGUCCGGCAACGAGUGCAACCCACAUCCCUAGUUGCCAGCAGGUUAAGCUGGGCACUCUAUGGAAACUGCCCGUGAUAAGCGGGAGGAAGGUGUGGAUGACGUCAAGUCCUCAUGGCCCUUACGGGUUGGGCUACACACGUGCUACAAUGGCAGUGACAAUGGGUUAAUCCCAAAAAGCUGUCUCAGUUCGGAUUGGGGUCUGCAACUCGACCCCAUGAAGUCGGAAUCGCUAGUAAUCGCGUAACAGCAUGACGCGGUGAAUACGUUCCCGGGCCUU